CACAAACUCUGAAGGAGAUCAUGUUGGGAUGAGAGCUUGACUGAAUACUGCUGUAAUUCUGUAUGUGAACAAACAGUAUUGCAACAUUAUUUUUUGAGAGCUGUAAAACAAGAAUACAAGCC
This 122-nucleotide long non-coding RNA is filed under the name Fukomys damarensis (Damara mole-rat). RNAcentral describes it as "lncRNA (ENSFDAG00000022241.1)". Lineage: Eukaryota; Metazoa; Chordata; Mammalia; Rodentia; Bathyergidae. The record is from RNAcentral.